GAUCAUGCCUCAGGACGAACGCUGGCGGCACGCUUAACGCAUGCAAGUCGAACGAGAGAAGAGAAGCUUGCUUUUCUGAUCUAGUGGCGGACGGGUGAGUAACACGUGAGCAAUCUGCCUUUCAGAGGGGGGAUACCGAUUGGAAACGAUCGUUAAUACCGCAUAAUAUAAUUGAACCGCAUGAUUUGAUUAUCAAAGAUUUAUCGACUGAAAGAUGAGCUCGCGU
This 226-nucleotide ribosomal RNA is filed under the name uncultured bacterium. Its description in RNAcentral is "partial 16S ribosomal RNA". It matches the Rfam family "Bacterial small subunit ribosomal RNA", at positions 15 to 236 of the family's 1533-position model. The record is from RNAcentral.